Molecule: ribosomal RNA, 1460 nt
Filed under: uncultured organism
Description: SSU rRNA
Rfam family: Bacterial small subunit ribosomal RNA
Source: RNAcentral
ACGCUGGCGGCAGGCCUAACACAUGCAAGUCGAGCGGUAGCACAGAGAGCUUGCUCUCGGGUGACGAGCGGCGGACGGGUGAGUAAUGUCUGGGAAACUGCCUGAUGGAGGGGGAUAACUACUGGAAACGGUAGCUAAUACCGCAUAACGUCGCAAGACCAAAGUGGGGGACCUUCGGGCCUCAUGCCAUCAGAUGUGCCCAGAUGGGAUUAGCUAGUAGGUGGGGUAACGGCUCACCUAGGCGACGAUCCCUAGCUGGUCUGAGAGGAUGACCAGCCACACUGGAACUGAGACACGGUCCAGACUCCUACGGGAGGCAGCAGUGGGGAAUAUUGCACAAUGGGCGCAAGCCUGAUGCAGCCAUGCCGCGUGUGUGAAGAAGGCCUUCGGGUUGUAAAGCACUUUCAGCGGGGAGGAAGGCGGUGAGGUUAAUAACCUCAUCGAUUGACGUUACCCGCAGAAGAAGCACCGGCUAACUCCGUGCCAGCAGCCGCGGUAAUACGGAGGGUGCAAGCGUUAGUCGGAAUUACUGGGCGUAAAGCGCACGCAGGCGGUCUGUCAAGUCGGAUGUGAAAUCCCCGGGCUCAACCUGGGAACUGCAUUCGAAACUGGCAGGCUAGAGUCUUGUAGAGGGGGGUAGAAUUCCAGGUGUAGCGGUGAAAUGCGUAGAGAUCUGGAGGAAUACCGGUGGCGAAGGCGGCCCCCUGGACAAAGACUGACGCUCAGGUGCGAAAGCGUGGGGAGCAAACAGGAUUAGAUACCCUGGUAGUCCACGCCGUAAACGAUGUCGAUUUGGAGGUUGUGCCCUUGAGGCGUGGCUUCCGGAGCUAACGCGUUAAAUCGACCGCCUGGGGAGUACGGCCGCAAGGUUAAAACUCAAAUGAAUUGACGGGGGCCCGCACAAGCGGUGGAGCAUGUGGUUUAAUUCGAUGCAACGCGAAGAACCUUACCUGGUCUUGACAUCCACAGAACUUUCCAGAGAUGGAUUGGUGCCUUCGGGAACUGUGAGACAGGUGCUGCAUGGCUGUCGUCAGCUCGUGUUGUGAAAUGUUGGGUUAAGUCCCGCAACGAGCGCAACCCUUAUCCUUUGUUGCCAGCGGUCCGGCCGGGAACUCAAAGGAGACUGCCAGUGAUAAACUGGAGGAAGGUGGGGAUGACGUCAAGUCAUCAUGGCCCUUACGACCAGGGCUACACACGUGCUACAAUGGCAUAUACAAAGAGAAGCGACCUCGCGAGAGCAAGCGGACCUCAUAAAGUAUGUCGUAGUCCGGAUUGGAGUCUGCAACUCGACUCCAUGAAGUCGGAAUCGCUAGUAAUCGUAGAUCAGAAUGCUACGGUGAAUACGUUCCCGGGCCUUGUACACACCGCCCGUCACACCAUGGGAGUGGGUUGCAAAAGAAGUAGGUAGCUUAACCUUCGGGAGGGCGCUUACCACUUUGUGAUUCAUGACUGGGGUGAAG